RNAcentral lists this ribosomal RNA (910 nucleotides) under uncultured bacterium. RNAcentral's name for it is "bacterial SSU rRNA". It matches the Rfam family "Bacterial small subunit ribosomal RNA", at positions 8 to 916 of the family's 1533-position model. The record is from RNAcentral.
AGAGUUUGAUCAUGGCUCAGGAUGAACGCUAGCGACAGGCCUAACACAUGCAAGUCGAGGGGUAACAGGGGCUUCGGCCCGCUGACGACCGGCGCACGGGUGAGUAUCGCGUAUGCAACCUGCCUGUAACAGCGGGAUAGCUCCCUGAAAGAGGAAUUAACACCGCAUAAGACCACGCUCUCGCAUGGGGACGGGGUAAAAUAUUUAUAGGUUACAGAUGGGCAUGCGUGACAUUAGUUAGUUGGUGAGGUAACGGCUCACCAAGACUGCGAUGUCUAGGGGUUCUGAGAGGAAGGUCCCCCACACUGGAAUUGAGACACGGUCCAGACUCCUACGGGAGGCAGCAGUGAGGAAUAUUGGUCAAUGGACGCAAGUCUGAACCAGCCAUGUCGCGUGCAGGAUGACUGCCCUAUGGGUUGUAAACUGCUUUUAUAUUGGAAGAAUUGCGCUUACGAGUUAAGCGUUUGACGGUACAUUAUGAAUAAGGAUCGGCUAACUCCGUGCCAGCAGCCGCGGUAAUACGGAGGACCCGAGCGUUAUCCGGAUUUAUUGGGUUUAAAGGGUGCGUAGGCGGAAAUGUAAGUCAGUGGUGAAAUCCUGCAGCUUAACUGUAGAAUAGCCGUUGAAACUGUGUUUCUUGAGUACAUUUGAGGUAGGCGGAAUGUGGUGUGUAGCGGUGAAAUGCAUAGAUAUACCACAGAACACCGAUUGCGAAGGCAGCUUACUAAACUGUCACUGACGCUGAUGCACGAAAGGCGUGGGUAUCAAACAGGAUUAGAUACCCUGGUAGUCCACGCUGUAAACGAUGAUUACUGGUUGUUUGCGAUACACUGCAAGUGACUGAGCGAAAGCAUUAAGUAAUCCACCUGGGGAGUACGUCGGCAACGAUGAAACUCAAAGGAAUUGACGG